RNAcentral lists this ribosomal RNA (465 nucleotides) under Vreelandella stevensii. RNAcentral describes it as "partial 16S ribosomal RNA". It matches the Rfam family "Bacterial small subunit ribosomal RNA", at positions 338 to 795 of the family's 1533-position model. Lineage: Bacteria; Pseudomonadati; Pseudomonadota; Gammaproteobacteria; Oceanospirillales; Halomonadaceae. The record is from RNAcentral.
CCUACGGGCGGCUGCAGUGGGGAAUAUUGGACAAUGGGGGGAACCCUGAUCCAGCCAUGCCGCGUGUGUGAAGAAGGCCCUCGGGUUGUAAAGCACUUUCAGUGAGGAAGAACGCCUGGUGGUUAAUACCCAUCAGGAAAGACAUUACUCACAGAAGAAGCACCGGCUAACUCCGUGCCAGCAGCCGCGGUAAUACGGAGGGUGCGAGCGUUAAUCGGAAUUACUGGGCGUAAAGCGCGCGUAGGUGGCUUGAUAAGCCGGUUGUGAAAGCCCCGGGCUCAACCUGGGAACGGCAUCCGGAACUGUCAAGCUAGAGUGCAGGAGAGGAAGGUAGAAUUCCCGGUGUAGCGGUGAAAUGCGUAGAGAUCGGGAGGAAUACCAGUGGCGAAGGCGGCCUUCUGGACUGACACUGACACUGAGGUGCGAAAGCGUGGGUAGCAAACAGGAUUAGAUACCCUAGUAGUC